Molecule: ribosomal RNA, 1160 nt
Filed under: uncultured organism
Description: bacterial SSU rRNA
Rfam family: Bacterial small subunit ribosomal RNA
Source: RNAcentral
CGGGAAACGGUAGCUAAUACCCGAUGGUCUCGAUAAUUCGGUUUGUCGAGUAAAGGCUCCGGCGCUUUGAGAGGGACCUGCGGCCCAUCAGCUAGUUGGUAGGGUAACGGCCUACCAAGGCGAAGACGGGUAGGGGGCGUGAGAGCGUGACCCCCCACACUGGCACUGGGACACGGGCCAGACUCCUACGGGAGGCAGCAGUGAGGAAUAUUGCGCAAUGAGCGAAAGCUAGACGCAGCAACGCCGCGUGGGUGAUGAAGGCCUUCGGGUCGUAAAACCCUUUUCUGGGGGAAGAGUAAGGACGGUACCCCAGGAAUAAGCCUCGGCUAACUAUGUGCCAGCAGCCGCGGUAAUACAUAGGAGGCGAGCGUUAUCCGGAUUUACUGGGCGUAAAGAGCGUUGAGGCGGCUUCGUAAGUUGGACGUGAAAGCUCCCGGCUUAACUGGGAGAGGCCGUUCAAUACUGCGGGGCUUGAGGACAGCAGAGGGGGGUGGAAUUUCGGGUGUAAUGGUGAAGUGCGUAGAUAUCGGAAGGAACAGCAGUGGCGAAUUGCGACCACUGGGCUGCUCCUGAAACUGAAUGCCAAGCUAGGGUAGCGAACGGGAUUAGAAACCCCGGUAGUCCUAUCCUUAAACGAUUGAUACUAGCUGUAGGAGGUUAAUACUCCUUCUGUGCCGGAUCUAACGCGCUAAGUAUCCCGCUUGGGGAGUACGGUCGCAAGGCUAAAACUCAAAGGAAUUGACGGGGGCCCGCACAAGCAUCGGAGCGUGUGGUUUAAUUCGAUGCAACGCGAAGAACCUUACCAGGGCUUGACAUGUAGGUAGUAGUGAAGCGAAAGCGGAACGAUCCUUCGGGAAGCCUACACAGGUGCUGCAUGGCUGUCGUCAGCUCGUGCCGUGAGGUGUUAGGUUAAGUCCUGUAACGAGCGCAACCCCUGCCGUUAGUUACAACUGUCUAACGGGACUGCCCGGCAAAACUGGGCCGAAGGUGGGGAUGACGUCAAGUCAGCAUGGCCUUUAUGUCCUGGGCUACACACACGCUACAAUGGCCGGUACAAUGGGUUGCCAAGCCGCGAGNCGGAGCCAAUCCUCUAAAGCCGGUCUCAGUUCGAAUUGUAGGCUGCAACCCGCCUGCAUGAAGUUGGAGUUGCUAGUAACCGC